AAUCAACGCUGGCGGCGUGCCUAACACAUGCAAGUCGAGCGAGAAAGGGGCUUCGGCCCUGAGUAAAGCGGCGCACGGGUGAGUAACACGUGGGUAAUCUGCCCUCGAGUGGGGAAUAACACCGGGAAACCGGUGCUAAUACCGCAUACGAUCACGAUGUUUUCGGAUGUUGUGAUGAAAGGAGCAAUUCGCUCUUGGAGGAGCCCGCGGCUGAUUAGCUAGUUGGUAAGGUAAUGGCUCACCAAGGCAACGAUCAGUAGCCGGUCUGAGAGGACGGUCGGCCACACUGGAACUGAGACACGGUCCAGACUCCUACGGGAGGCAGCAGUGGGGAAUUUUUCGCAAUGGGGGCAACCCUGACGAAGCAACGCCGCGUGGAUGAUGAAGUCUCUUGGGACGUAAAAUCCUUUCGACAGGGAAGAAACCGCAAGGUUGACGGUACCUGUAGAAGAAGCCCCGGCUAACUCCGUGCCAGCCGCCGCCGUAA
Molecule: ribosomal RNA, 487 nt
Filed under: uncultured bacterium
Lineage: Bacteria
Description: partial 16S ribosomal RNA
Rfam family: Bacterial small subunit ribosomal RNA
Source: RNAcentral